CUGUAUUAAGCAGAGUUUUCGGCUCAGAGUCAGCUAACAAAUCUGGGAUGGGAAGACUGUCAGGGUCUUCAGUGGCCGGGAUACAUAUGGCCGCUAUAUCUUCGGGCCUUUCUUGGUAUUCUUUUAACAAAUUGACAUGAAACGACUUCUGAACCCUUUCGUCUUGGCUACUGGCAAUUACAUAGGUGGUGUCACAUACCUGGGCUACUACCUUGUAAGGGCCUUGCCAGGAGGUCUGUAGCUUGUUUCCCUUGACAGGUCUAAGUACCAGAACUUUCUGACCUACUUGGAACGUUCUCAAUCGGGCGCCCCGAUCGUACCAGUGUUUCUGACGGCCCUGGGCUGCCUGGAAUUGUUCUCAGGCCAUUCUGGCUAGGUGCCCCAUGCGGUCCCGCAUCUCCAGCACAUAAGGUACGAUAGGAACGCCCUCAUGCUCUAUCUCUCCCUCCCAGUGCUCUCGGAUGAGGUCGAAGGGGCCUCGCACUCGCCGU
Molecule: non-coding RNA, 491 nt
Organism: Pelobates cultripes (western spadefoot toad)
Lineage: Eukaryota; Metazoa; Chordata; Amphibia; Anura; Pelobatidae
Source: the annotation of a GenBank genome assembly